This 253-nucleotide ribosomal RNA is filed under the name uncultured bacterium. RNAcentral's name for it is "partial 16S ribosomal RNA". It matches the Rfam family "Bacterial small subunit ribosomal RNA", at positions 524 to 776 of the family's 1533-position model. The record is from RNAcentral.
GACAGAGGGUGCAAACGUUGUUCGGAUUUACUGGGCGUAAAGCGCGUGUAGGCGGCUUUGCAAGUCGGAUGUGAAAGCCCACGGCUCAACCGUGGAAGUGCAUCCGAAACUGCAUGGCUGGAGUCUCGGAGAGGAAGGUGGAAUGCUUGGUGUAGAGGUGAAAUUCGUAGAUAUCAAGCAGAACACCUGCGGCGAAGGCGGCCUUCUGGACGAUGACUGACGCUGAGACGCGAAAGCGUGGGGAGCACACAGG